This 1086-nucleotide long non-coding RNA is filed under the name Olea europaea subsp. europaea. The record is from RNAcentral. Lineage: Eukaryota; Viridiplantae; Streptophyta; Magnoliopsida; Lamiales; Oleaceae.
AUCUAAACUGUCUCAAGAAUAGUUCAGUUCAUUCUUUCAGCCAUGCCAUUUUGUUGUGGGGUAUGAGUUACUAUUCUGUGUCUUAGAAUACCAUGCUCUUUGCACAAUUCAUCAAAUUCAUAAUUGCAAAAUUCAAACCCGUUAUCAGUCCUUAAGACUUUAAUCUUUUUAUUUGUUUGAUUUUUAAUCAAGAUUUUCAAUUCCUUAAAAUCAUUAGAAGUGUUGGACUUAUGUUUAAGGAGAAAGAGCCAGUUUUUCAUAGAAAAAUCUCUAUGAUUAAUAGGAAAAUCUGAAACCAGUAUGUGUGGGCAUAGAAGCUGGUCCCCAAAGAUCAGCAUGCAAAUACUCAAGAAUAGACACAGAUUUAUGCAUCCCAGGCAGAAAUGGAAGUCUAUUUUGCUUUCCUAGUAUACAUGAUCACAAAAACUGAGUUUCUCAAUUAUAUCUUUACCAAAGGCACCUUGUUUUUUUCAAAAUUUGCAAGCCUUUGUCACUAAUAUGGACCAAUCUUUUAUGCCAUAGUUGUGACUUAUCAUUGGGGGUAGAAAUUGCUCCUGAUGUGGAGUCAAAAAGGUUUUGAGUGUGUAAAAUGUAAAGCCCAUGUCUCUUGGGGGCUUCGACAACAAGUUUAAAGCCCCUCAAGAUUUUAAUGUAUCCUUUAUUAAUCACAAUAUUAUAGUUCAGGUCAUCUAGAACACCUAAGGAUAUAAGAUUUCUUUGUAGAUUGGGAACAUACCUGGUUUUUUUCUAAAGUCAGUUCAUUAUUAUCGUUAAACCUUAAGGUGAUUGUUCCUAUUCCUUUUACUUGACAAGACAUGUGAUUACCCAUUAACACUUGGCCUCCAUAUACAUUUUCAAACUCAGUAAACCACUCUCUUUUAGGAUAUAUGUGAAAGGUGCAACCAGAGUCAAGGAUCCACUCCUGACUAGGUAUACUGUGUGCAGCAACAUAAACAUCAUCUAUGUUGUACUCAUUUUUAUAAGCCAAGGCGGCACCACCAUCAUUAUUAGACUUAUUUUUCAAAUCAUUAAGUCUCUUACGGCAAUCUUUGAUAAAAUGACCUUCACCUAACAGUAAAAAUAUUU